RNAcentral lists this ribosomal RNA (305 nucleotides) under uncultured bacterium. RNAcentral's name for it is "bacterial SSU rRNA". It matches the Rfam family "Bacterial small subunit ribosomal RNA", at positions 337 to 658 of the family's 1533-position model. The record is from RNAcentral.
UCCUACGGGGGGCAGCAGUCGGGAAUAUUGCGCAAUGGAGGAAACUCUGACGCAGUGACGCCGCGUGCAGGAAGAAGGUUUUCGGAUUGUAAACUGCUUUAGACAGGGAAGAAACGAGACAGUACCUGUAGAAUAAGCUCCGGCUAACUACGUGCCAGCAGCCGCGGUAAUACGUAGGGAGCAAGCGUUAUCCGGAUUUAUUGGGUGUAAAGGGUGCGUAGACGGGAAAUUAAGUUAGUUGUGAAAUCCCUCGGCUUAACUGAGGAACUGCAACUAAAACUGAUAUUCUUGAGUGUUGGAGAGGA